CUGCGCCGAUACGCCCUCGGCCUCCACCGUGUUGAUCUGCCCACAAGGCGGCUUGACGAGAUUGCGACUGGAACGAAGUUGUCCUGAGGGACGGGGAAGCGUUUACGUAUCAGCCAGAUCGAAAGACUCGACAGCGAGUCGCCCACCGGCAACCACGAGCCGAACGGCACUUGAUCCAGUCGAGAAGCACGGUCCGCGAACUGUUCGUCUCCCCCCCUCCUCGGCGUCAUUCUUCGCCACGGUCAUUCUCUCGCCAUGCAGCGGUGAGCCACCCGCAAGACAACCUUCACCAGCAGGUUUUGAGUGGGUCAGUCGGUGCUCAACCAAUACAUUUCUUGAAGGAUUGACCAUGUCCGCAUAUCAGAACGAGAUCAAGGCAGU
RNAcentral lists this small RNA (381 nucleotides) under Pseudomonas aeruginosa PAK. Its description in RNAcentral is "potential sRNA". The stretch from base 1 to 206 matches the Rfam family "sRNA regulator of biofilms A", at positions 31 to 235 of the family's 235-position model. From Rfam's summary of the family: Bacterial strain with deleted SrbA had reduced biofilm mass. However, the deletion of srbA had no effect on growth or antibiotic resistance in P. aeruginosa. Lineage: Bacteria; Pseudomonadati; Pseudomonadota; Gammaproteobacteria; Pseudomonadales; Pseudomonadaceae. The record is from RNAcentral.